Non-coding RNA from Biomphalaria pfeifferi, 75 nucleotides. NCBI's taxonomy places the organism in Eukaryota, Metazoa, Mollusca, Gastropoda, Planorbidae. The record is from the annotation of a GenBank genome assembly.
GGUUUCUGUAGUGUAGUGGUUAUCACAUCUGCCAGACACGCUGAAGAUACUGGUUUCGAUACCCAGAUGAAGUCA